UAGUAGUGGAGACUCAGAGCUCCCUCCACUCAUAAGGCACACCGCUUCUGUCCUGGCAUGAACCCUCUCUUAACCCUCCGACGACUACUGUGCAGUUGCCCUCUCACUGCAACCGCGUGCUCUUUGUUCUUCAUUCAUCGGUGCUCCACUCCUCCAGGUGGCAUAUUGAGGGGAAGCAGCCGAAGUAAAUGAUAGGAGCGCUUCUGUUAACUCUUUUGUUUUCGAUUAAGCCGUUUAUAUUUUCUUUAAACUAUUUUCGUUCGGACUUAAAAACCGUGUUGAUUAUUCAAUACUUUCAUUUUCACUCAGUAUAAUAGAAGAUCGAAGUUAUCUCUUAAGUAAAUUUUUUUGUCCCUGUUUGCAUUGAAACUAUUUUUCCGUAAGCAAGGAACAUAUAUUUUAUUACUAUAUAAUAUUAAUAUUAACUUUACUCAAUUAUUAUAAAUAUUUUAUAAACGAAAUCGACUUUUUUCUCAUCAUGUGUUUGAUCUAUAAUUAUAUUAAUCUUUAAUGAAAUUUUUACUACUCGUUUUAAGUCCGACGUAAUUAAGAAACCGAUUACUCUGAACUUAAAAAAAAAAAAAAAAAAAAAAAACGAAAAUCGUGCCUGUUGUACUUCUGCUUAUUUGAGAGGGUGAUGCCAGUAUCAGAAGUAGGUCUUUAGAAAUUUUUUUUAACGUAAUUUGGUAGUUAAAUUUAGAGUCCAUCUGCAUGAAAACCAAAGAAACUUUUAGGAAGAACUGCGGUAAGUGAUCCCUCAAGAACUUCUUAGCUUGAGAUGAAAAAUUCUUUUGUCCUUAGAAGCCUUCCUUCAUCCCUAGCCAAACGAUUCGUCGCCCUUUUGCUCGCGGGCUAUUGGAUGGUCAACAUACCAAAAUAGAACGAACUGGUCGCCUUCAACUGUCCAAACUCCCCCACUGCUUCAAGAAGAAGAUAGACUCUUCCAUUCUAAAAUAGUUGCCUUAAGCCCGCCUAAGACUGUGAAACAUCUUUCGAACAUAAUAAUGUUUCUUCUAAAUUCUUUGUUCAUCUAUUUUUAUGUAAAGGAUUUAUUUCCUAACUUAAAAACGAAACCAUUAAAAAUAAAAUUAUUUUGUUCUA
Argiope bruennichi is the source of this 1101-nucleotide long non-coding RNA. RefSeq lists it as uncharacterized. The transcript is spliced from 3 exons. Lineage: Eukaryota; Metazoa; Arthropoda; Arachnida; Araneae; Araneidae. The record is from RefSeq and is a predicted model, not a curated record.